RNAcentral lists this ribosomal RNA (1322 nucleotides) under human gut metagenome. Its description in RNAcentral is "bacterial LSU rRNA". It matches the Rfam family "Bacterial large subunit ribosomal RNA", at positions 1620 to 2925 of the family's 2925-position model. The record is from RNAcentral.
UCCUAAGUUUAUUCACAGCAAUCCGUACCGCAAACCAACUCAGGUGGGUGAGGAGAACAAUCCUAAGGCGCUCGAGAGAACUCUGGCCAAGGAACUCGGCAAAAUAACCCCGUAACUUCGGAAGAAGGGGUGCUCUCUAGGGUGACAUGUUUAACAUAUGAAGCCCCGGGGAGCCGCAGUGAAUUGGUGGUGGCGACUGUUUACUAAAAACAUAGGUCUGUGCGAAGUCCUAAAGACGACGUAUACGGACUGACGCCUGCCCGGUGCUGGAAGGUUAAAAGGAGGGGUCAGCGCAAGCAAAGCUCCGAAUUGAAGCCCCAGUAAACGGCGGCCGUAACUAUAACGGUCCUAAGGUAGCGAAAUUCCUUGUCGGGUAAGUUCCGACCUGCACGAAUGGCGUAACGAUCUCCACACUGUCUCGGCCAGAGACUCGGUGAAAUUGCAGUCGCGGUGAAAAUUCCGUGUACCCGCAGAAAGACGGAAAGACCCUGUGCACCUUUACUAUAGCUUGACAUUGGAUUUUGGGCCUGCAUGUGUAGGAUAGGUGGGAGGCUGUGAACCCUGUACGCCAGUAUGGGGGGAGCCAUCCUUGAAAUACCACCCUUGCAUGUUUAAGAUCCUAACUUCUUCCGGUUAUCCCGGAGAAAGACAGUGUCUGGCGGGUAGUUUGACUGGGGCGGUCGCCUCCUAAAGUGUAACGGAGGCAUGCAAAGGUUCCCUCAGCCUGAUCGGAAACCAGGCGCUGAGUGCAAACGCAUAAGGGAGCUUGACUGUAAGAGAGACAUCUCGAACAGGAACGAAAGUUGGCGUUAGUGAUCCGGUGGUCCCGAAUGGAAGGGCCAUCGCUCAUUGGAUAAAAGGUACGCCGGGGAUAACAGGCUGAUCGCAUCCAAGAGUUCACAUCGACGAUGCGGUUUGGCACCUCGAUGUCGGCUCAUCACAUCCUGGGGCUGUAGCAGGUCCCAAGGGUACGGCUGUUCGCCGUUUAAAGUGGUACGCGAGCUGGGUUUAAAACGUCGUGAGACAGUUUGGUCCCUAUCUUCUGUGGGCGAAGGAGAAUUGAGAGGGCCUGUCCCUAGUACGAGAGGACCGGGAUGGACGCACCCCUGGUGAUCCUGUUGUCGCGCCAGCGGCAUAGCAGGGUAGCUAUGUGCGGAAGGGAUAACCGCUGAAAGCAUCUAAGCGGGAAGCCUGCCUCAAGAUAAGUUCUCCCCUCGAAAGAGCUGAAGGGCCCGGGUAGACUACCCGGUCGAUAGGCUGGAGGUGUAAGCGCGGCGACGUGCUCAGCUGACCAGUACUAAUAGCCCGAGCGGCUUAUUUUU